GAUGAAGACGUAGCGAAAUGCGAUAAGUAGUGUGAAUUGCAGAAUUCCGUGAAUCAUCGAAUCUUUGAACGCACAUUGCGCCUUCUGGUAUUCCGGAAGGCAUGCCUGUUCGAGAGUCAUUAACAACCGUUUCGAUCCCUUUCUUUCAGAAAUUACAAAGAGGAAAAGGGUUUGGUUAUGGUGGAGGAGGGAAAGGGAGCGUUUAGCCUGUAAAAAAAGAGGCUGUGUUCCGCCUCCCCCCCAAAAUUGUACAGGCGGUCGUGUGCGCCCACGCAUCGAGGUGUUGUAAAAGCUGCCACGGCACUUUUCACCUGUGCAGUGCGAGAUUGGCCAGCCGGUUUAAAAACCCCUCCAAACAAUCAAAGGUUGACCUCGGAUCAGGUAGGGAUACCCGCUGAACUUAAGCAUAUCAAUAAGCGGAGGA
Molecule: unclassified non-coding RNA, 424 nt
Filed under: soil metagenome
Description: partial contains 5.8S ribosomal RNA, internal transcribed spacer 2, and large subunit ribosomal RNA
Rfam family: 5.8S ribosomal RNA (bases 1-119)
Source: RNAcentral